This 376-nucleotide ribosomal RNA is filed under the name uncultured bacterium. RNAcentral's name for it is "bacterial SSU rRNA". It matches the Rfam family "Bacterial small subunit ribosomal RNA", at positions 524 to 898 of the family's 1533-position model. The record is from RNAcentral.
UACGAACCGUCCAAACGUUACUCGGAAUCACUGGGCUUAAAGGGUGCGUAGGCCGCGCGGAGGGUGGGAUGUGAAAUCCCCCGGCUCAACCGGGGAAUAGCGUCCCAAACCGCCGUGCUCGAGGGAGACAGAGGUGAGCGGAACUGAUGGUGGAGCGGUGAAAUGCGUUGAUAUCAUCAGGAACACCAGUGGCGAAAGCGGCUCACUGGGUCUUUCCUAACGCUGAGGCACGAAAGCUAGGGGAGCGAACGGGAUUAGAUACCCCGGUAGUCCUAGCCUUAAACGAUGAGCACUUGAUUGGAGGGAUGGUCACGUCCUUCCGGUCGUAGCGAAAGUGUUAAGUGCUCCGCCUGGGGAGUAUGGUCGCAAGGCUGAA